Molecule: transfer RNA, 71 nt
Filed under: Chryseobacterium gambrini
Lineage: Bacteria; Pseudomonadati; Bacteroidota; Flavobacteriia; Flavobacteriales; Weeksellaceae
Description: tRNA-OTHER
Rfam family: tRNA
About the family: Transfer RNA (tRNA) molecules are approximately 80 nucleotides in length. Their secondary structure includes four short double-helical elements and three loops (D, anti-codon, and T loops). Further hydrogen bonds mediate the characteristic L-shaped molecular structure. tRNAs have two regions of fundamental functional importance: the anti-codon, which is responsible for specific mRNA codon recognition, and the 3' end, to which the tRNAs corresponding amino acid is attached (by aminoacyl-tRNA synthetases). tRNAs cope with the degeneracy of the genetic code in two manners: having more than one tRNA (with a specific anti-codon) for a particular amino acid; and 'wobble' base-pairing, i.e. permitting non-standard base-pairing at the 3rd anti-codon position.
Source: RNAcentral
AAAGUUGUAGUUUAAUCCGGAAAAAUAUAUUCCGACCGAAUAAGUUGUCGGUUCGAUCCCGACCUUCUUUU